CUCGGGGAUAGCCUUUCGAAAGAAAGAUUAAUACCCGAUGUCAUAGUCCUACCGCAUGAUGGGAUUAUUAAAGAAUUUCGGUAUGGGAUGGGGAUGCGUUCCAUUAGUUAGUUGGCGGGGUAACGGCCCACCAAGACAACGAUGGAUAGGGGUUCUGAGAGGAAGGUCCCCCACAUUGGAACUGAGACACGGUCCAAACUCCUACGGGAGGCAGCAGUGAGGAAUAUUGGUCAAUGGACGAGAGUCUGAACCAGCCAAGUAGCGUGAAGGAUGACUGCCCUACGGGUUGUAAACUUCUUUUAUAUGGGAAUAAAAUGUUCCACGUGUGGGAUUUUGUAUGUACCAUAUGAAUAAGGAUCGGCUAACUCCGUGCCAGCAGCCGCGGUAAUACGGAGGAUCCGAACGUUAUCCGGAUUUAUUGGGUUUAAAGGGAGCGUAGGUGGAUUGUUAAGUCAGUUGUGAAAGUUUGCGGCUCAACCGUAAAAUUGCAGUUGAAACUGGCAGUCUUGAGUACAGUAGAGGUGGGCGGAAUUCGUGGUGUAGCGGUGAAAUGCUUAGAUAUCACGAAGAACUCCGAUUGCGAAGGCAGCUCACUGGACUGCAACUGACACUGAGGCUCGAAAGUGUGGGUAUCAAACAGGAUUAGAUACCCUGGUAGUCCACACAGUAAACGAUAAAUGCUCGCUGUUUGCGAUAUACUGCAAGCGGCCAAG
Molecule: ribosomal RNA, 713 nt
Filed under: uncultured bacterium
Lineage: Bacteria
Description: bacterial SSU rRNA
Rfam family: Bacterial small subunit ribosomal RNA
Source: RNAcentral